Molecule: long non-coding RNA, 1729 nt
Organism: Phasianus colchicus (ring-necked pheasant)
Lineage: Eukaryota; Metazoa; Chordata; Aves; Galliformes; Phasianidae
Source: Ensembl
UAGGGUCGGGGGGAGAUAUAGGGUCAAGGAGGACAUAUAGGGUCAGGGGAGGAUAUAGGGUCAAGGAGGACAUAUAGGGUCAAGGGGCGAUUUAGGGUCAGGGGAGGAUAUAGGGUCAAGGAGGACAUAUAGGGUCAAGGGGUGAUUUAGGGUCAGGGGAGGAUAUAGGGUCGGGGGGGGGAUAUGGGCUGUACUGGGCUGUACUGGGUUAUACUGGGCCAUACUGGGAUGGACUGGGCUGGGUUAUACUGGGCUGAACUGGGCUAUACUGGUUUGUACUGGUUUAUACUGGGAUACAUGGGGCUAUACUGGUUUAUACUGGUUUAUACUGGUUUAUACUGGGAUAUAUGGGGCUAUACUGGUUUAUACUGGUUUAUACUGGGAUACAUGGGGCUAUACUGGUUCAUACUGGUUUAUACUGGUUUAUACUGGGAUACAUGGGGCUAUACUGGUUUAUACUGGUUUAUACUGGUUUGUUCUGGGAUACAUGGGGCUAUACUGGUUCAUACUGGUUUAUACUGGUUUGUACUGGGAUAUAUGGGGCUAUACUGGUUUAUACUGGUUUAUACUGGUUUAUACUGGGAUACAUGGGGCUAUACUGGUUCAUACUGGUUUAUACUGGUUUAUACUGGGAUAUAUGGGGCUAUACUGGGCUAUGCUAGUUUAUACUGGUUUAUACUGGGAUAUACUGGGCUAUACUGUGCUAUACUGGUUUAUACUGGGCUAUAUACUGCUAUACUGGUCCAUACUGGUCCAUACUGGUCCAUACUGGGCUGUCUAUAAUGAUCCAUACUGGGCCAUACUGUUCCAUACUGGUCCAUACUGGUCUGUACUGGUCCAUACUGGGCCUUACGGUUCUAUACUGGUCCAUACUGGUCUAUACUGGUCUAUACUGGGCCAUACUGGUCUGUACUGGUCCAUACUGGGCCUUACGGUUCUAUACUGGUCCAUACUGGUCUAUACUGGGCCAUACUGGUCUGUACUGGGCCAUACUGGUCUGUACUGGUCUAUACUGAGCCAUACUGGUCCGUACUGGGCCAUACUGGUCCAUACUGGUCUAUACUGGGCCAUACUGGUCUGUACUGGUCUAUACUGGUCUAUACUGGGCCAUACUGGACUAUACAGGGUCACAUAUGGGGUCAUUUAUGGGGUGACAUAUAGGGUUAUAUGGGGUUAUACGAGGUCAUAUAUGGGGUCAGAUAUGGGGUUUUAUAUGGGGUUUUAUAUGGGGUUAUAUGGGGCCAUUUAUGGGGUCAUAUAUGGGGUCAUAAAAGGGGGUUUAUAUGGGAUUAUAUAUGGGAUCAUAUAUGGGGUUAUAUAUGGGGUUUUAUAUGGGAUCAGAUAUGGGGUCAUUUAUGGGGUCAUAUAUGGGAUUAUAUAUGGGAUCAUAUAUGGGGUUAUAUAUGGGGUUUUAUAUGGGAUCAUAUAUGGGGCCAUAUAUGGGGUUAUAUAUGGGAUCAUAUAUGGGGUCAUAAAAGGGGGUUUAUAUGGGAUUAUAUAUGGGACCAUAUAUGGGGUUUUAUAUGGGAUCAGAUAUGGGGCCAUUUAUGGGGUCAUAUAUGGGAUUAUAUAUGGGAUCAUAUAUGGGGCCAUUUAUGGGGUUAUAUAUGGGGUUAUAGAUAGGGUCAUAUAUGGGGUCAUAUAUGGGGUUAUAUGUGGGGUUUUAUAUGGGGUUAUAUGGGGUCAUUUAUGGGGUUGUAUAUGGGGUGACAUAUAGGGUUAUGUGGGG